CCUGGGUAGUAUAUAGUUAUUUUCUCGAAACCCAAAGAGUUUGGCGGUAUCUCAGUCUAGUUAGAGGAGCUUGUUCGGUAAUCGAUAAUCCGCGAAAUAUCUUACGCACUUUUGUAGUCAGUUAAUAUACCGUCGUUAUUAGAUAAUAUUAAAAAGUAAAUAAUUAUCUAAAUAUAUUAAAAUAUAAUAUAUCAGAUCAAGGUGUUGCUUAUAAGUGUGUUUGAAUGAGCUACAAUUUUAUAAAAAAAAACGGAUUUUAUUUUUAAAUAAAUAAAUAAAGGUGGAUUUAAUA
This 292-nucleotide ribosomal RNA is filed under the name Vossquilla kempi. RNAcentral describes it as "partial 12S ribosomal RNA". The record is from RNAcentral. Lineage: Eukaryota; Metazoa; Arthropoda; Malacostraca; Stomatopoda; Squillidae.